CGAUGAGUAGGGCGGGACACGUGGUAUCCUGUCUGAAUAUGGGGGGACCAUCCUCCAAGGCUAAAUACUCCUGACUGACCGAUAGUGAACCAGUACCGUGAGGGAAAGGCGAAAAGAACCCCGGCGAGGGGAGUGAAAAAGAACCUGAAACCGUGUACGUACAAGCAGUGGGAGCCUCUUAAUGGGGUGACUGCGUACCUUUUGUAUAAUGGGUCAGCGACUUAUAUUCUGUAGCAAGGUUAACCGAAUAGGGGAGCCGAAGGGAAACCGAGUCUUAACUGGGCGUUAAGUUGCAGGGUAUAGACCCGAAACCCGGUGAUCUAGCCAUGGGCAGGUUGAAGGUUGGGUAACACUAACUGGAGGACCGAACCGACUAAUGUUGAAAAAUUAGCGGAUGACUUGUGGCUGGGGGUGAAAGGCCAAUCAAACCGGGAGAUAGCUGGUUCUCCCCGAAAGCUAUUUAGGUAGCGCCUCGUGAAUUCAUCUCCGGGGGUAGAGCACUGUUUCGGCAAGGGGGUCAUCCCGACUUACCAACCCGAUGCAAACUGCGAAUACCGGAGAAUGUUAUCACGGGAGACACACGGCGGGUGCUAACGUCCGUCGUGAAGAGGGAAACAACCCAGACCGCCAGCUAAGGUCCCAAAGUCAUGGUUAAGUGGGAAACGAUGUGGGAAGGCCCAGACAGCCAGGAUGUUGGCUUAGAAGCAGCCAUCAUUUAAAGAAAGCGUAAUAGCUCACUGGUCGAGUCGGCCUGCGCGGAAGAUGUAACGGGGCUAAACCAUGCACCGAAGCUGCGGCAGCGACACUAUGUGUUGUUGGGUAGGGGAGCGUUCUGUAAGCCUGUGAAGGUGGCCUGUGAGGGUUGCUGGAGGUAUCAGAAGUGCGAAUGCUGACAUAAGUAACGAUAAAGCGGGUGAAAAGCCCGCUCGCCGGAAGACCAAGGGUUCCUGUCCAACGUUAAUCGGGGCAGGGUGAGUCGACCCCUAAGGCGAGGCCGAAAGGCGUAGUCGAUGGGAAACAGGUUAAUAUUCCUGUACUUGGUGUUACUGCGAAGGGGGGACGGAGAAGGCUAUGUUGGCCGGG
RNAcentral lists this ribosomal RNA (1083 nucleotides) under Escherichia coli. RNAcentral describes it as "partial 23S ribosomal RNA". It matches the Rfam family "Bacterial large subunit ribosomal RNA", at positions 406 to 1495 of the family's 2925-position model. Lineage: Bacteria; Pseudomonadati; Pseudomonadota; Gammaproteobacteria; Enterobacterales; Enterobacteriaceae. The record is from RNAcentral.